GCCAUAUUCAUUCAAGCAUCGGAGCAUAACGUGUCAAGUUGCUUCCGGAAAACAAAAAAACAUAGCCCAUAUCCUUUAAAGUAAUGUCUGCAUGAAUUUAAUUGUCAAUUGCUCUGCAAAUUUUAUAUUUGUUUGGCAGAGAAGGUUUCUCGGUUGACUUCUUGCUUGCUGUAGGGUUGAAAAAUCACAAAACCCAUUUGAAGAAAACACUAUCCUCCAGAGCUGUUUACAAAGACAGGACUACGCAUGUACUUGUACUAUUUCUAUGGUAACUCUGUACAGACCCACCAGAACGCAGAUGAAAGGUCUGGAUAUGAAAAAAAAAAAGGGGAGAGAAAUAAAAUCUUUCACAGGUACAAAAGAAACCUGAAGCUGAAAUCAUAUGGCAUCACUUGUACCAGCUGUGAAAGAGGGUCUCUUCCCCUUCUCUCAAGACAUUUAACUGCUUCAUUCCUCAGUUCAUCAGGUAGCUGUAGACACACCCAAUCGAGCAUCGAUUCUAUGUCCUUUGCAAAGUCAAGUAGAUACCAAUCUAAUAGCUUAGGAAUUAUUAAUUUUUUUUGUCCUUGAAAUCCCAACUGCUGCCUGUAAAUUCUCUCUCUUUGCUGCUUCUAACUCCUCUUCAAUAUGAGAGGCUGUAUACACUCUUACCUGCAAUUUCUUCAAGCAAUCAGCAAGUACACAUGACCCCCCAAAAAAAGAAAUGUUGUAUAUCAUAAAGACUAUUCUUGAUUUGGAAAUAUAUAUAUAUAAUAAUGGCUACAUGAAUCAAUUAAGCAUAGCCGAUCUCUAAACCUGCAGAUUGCUUGCUCAAAAUAAAUCUUUGGAACACAGUUAGCUGACCAAGCCCUUAAACUAACUAGCCUAAAACAGGAAGAAACGUACAGCAGGGGAUGACCAACUUCCACAGGAGAGUGCAAAUGUAACCAAAGGUUCAGACCACUCCAAUCCAAAUAUGCUGCGAGUUUUCAUCUCAUCAUUUUUUUUAGAUUUUGAACAGGUAAAUUUCAAGUGAUAAGGAAGUCUCAAGAUGAAAUGUUCAAUGGUAAUUGCAUUCAGUAGUUGUCCCCCUACAGUAAUUGUUGCCUGAGAAAAGCAUAAUAGGAAUUAACUAAAUCAAAAUCAGUUGCCCUUAAGUAAAACUCAGAGUACCUAGAGCUAAUCAUUAAUGAUCAUAUGCUCCAAGGUUGCCUGAAGAUAGUAUUUAGCAGCUCAUAAAGAUUCAUAAAAGUUUCUGUGGAACUCAUAUUAGAAAGUCAAAACAAUAAUUAGAACAUUGGUAUUUAGAUGUUGGGCAGGUAGAUCUUGACACUGAAAUUGAAUUCAAGUUCUAACUUAUGGAUGACUAUUCUCAAUUAGAUAAACACUAAUAAAUUAAGCCAUAGAUCCAUUUUGGUGAAACCCUAAACAUUGGAAUUAAAAAGAAAAUUUGAAUUAUUAUAUUAAAAAUUUUGAAUGGAUAAAUGGCAAGAUAAGUAGAUCCUACCUUUUGCAUUAGUGCUACAACCAUUUCAGGAGUCUUGGGUAUCCCAUGCUCCAAAAUUGCAUUCAUCAUGCACGAAUUAUAAGUGUUUAUCCAGAAAGCAAGCUUCUGCUGAUGGGUAAGACCCUCCAAAUUUACAGAGGCAAGUUUCCCAAGUAGGAACUUUAGUCUAUGGAUCAAAAACAAGGCAUUUGUCGUGCGGUUGAGAUCAAUUGAACUAGCUUCAAUUGCACAAAGAUGCUUAUAGGGACCAAUAUCUCUAGCUCUGGACUCUGAAGAGAUAGCAUAAGGAUCCCAAAUCUCAAUUUCUUCUUUGCACUCCAGAGAAACAAAGGCUGAUCGUGAGAGUAAAGUUCCUGAUUCUACUGAUUUGUCCUUAAAUGUGCUAAUCCUUAACAAAAUGCUUGACAAACACUUCAAUAUAUCCUCAGAUACCUCAUUCGGUGAGACUGUGAUGUUAGUUUCUGAUACUUUAUCCUCUGAAGAGCCAGAAGAGCUUUCUUGUGCUCUUUCCUGCUCUAUUAAUCUGCACUCUAUCUUUAAAGGAUCCAAGGACUUCUCAGAUUCAUGCUUGUAUGAUACUCUCUUAAUUGGAGUCACAAUUUUUACAGUUUUCUCGCGUGGAGAUUGCUUAUCCUUCACGGAAUUAGUACAUGACUGAUUCUCCUUUCCUCUCCCAUCAUCCAAUGAAGAGGAAUAGGGUUUACCAUAAGCUUGUUUGGAACUAUGUGCUAAUCGAUCGGCGAUAGUGUCGGAGGAAAUUAGCUUUCUACUUGAAGUGCUUCUAGCAAGGGAAGAGUGAGGCCUGCCUGCAAAUGCAGCAGAAUUGAACUCAUUAUGCGAAAGGGACUUCGAUCGUGCAUGUUUUGGUCUUGUAGGGGAAGGUUGGGGUUGGUCAAUUGCAUCAUUGGAAUUCUCCACAUUCUUCUUGGAGGAGAUGUAGACAGCUUCCUGAUAGAGUCCUUGUCUAAAAUUCACAACUUGCUCUUCAAGGCGAACAACUUCUUCUUCUAAAACAGCUACUUCAGCUAGCAGCUCUAAUGUAUUUUGGGGUAGAUAAGGAGGCAAGCGAGGUAGAGCACCCAAAGGCCUAGUAAAAGCCCUCUCUAAUGCUCUGUGAACAUUCUCUUCAUGUCUAAGCUUCUUCUUUAGCUUAUCAACAUCUUGUAGCAAGGCCAAUUUCCUCUCCCUGUUUGAUCGACGCCGAUUAACAGCAGAUUUCUGGGCAGCCUUUGCUCUGCUUCCUUGAGUCUCCAUCUUCUCCUUUGCAAUUUCAAUAACAAAUGCUAUUGGUAAAACAUUAUUAAAGGACCAGGCUGCAAUUAGGAAGGGGCCAAAAAAAGCCAAAAAAGCAAAAGCACAAGCUGAAACUAUUCUUUUCUUGAGAUAAGUGAAAGAACCCAAUGCAGAUUUUGGAUCUAAAGUUGCAUACUUUUUUUUUUUUUCAGAAGCAGAUUUUGUAAUCUGCAAAAACGAUUUAAAAGAAAAUAAUCCAGUUUCACAAAAGAAUAUGUAUAAUAAAUCAAAGUAACAGAAACUAAAAAAGCAUUAGCAGAAUUAAAGCCCAUUUUUCUUCUUGAAAACCCGUUUCAGAUUUAUCAUUUCCCAAUAGAAAAGAAUAACAGGAACCCAUGUUCACAUACCAUGAGAAUUGUUGAAUGUAACAGAGAGAAAGAAGAACAAGAGAGGAAAAAAAAGAACCAAAAAAAAAGUAUACUUUAUCAUGGUUUAAUGGAGCUUUCAUUGCCUGAAGAGCAGUGCGGACUCGAGUGUUCAUCUUUUUCUCACUUGAAAACGAAGGAACUAUGCACCAAGAUCAAUUAUAACCUGAAAAAGAUGACUGAUAAUAAUUCUCCAAAAAUGGGGAAAUAGAAAGAGAGGAGGAAAUUGCAGAAGCAAAAUACUUGAGUUUUAUAUUUUCUUCUUUUUUUUUUUAACAAAAAGCGGGAAAAUUGAAUGGAAAGAGGCCCAGAAACAGAAAUGGUGGGUAGAGGCGAGUGCCUGCUGCUCUGCUCAAAGUGCUUAACAGAAGCAGUUUAAUUUUUUGUAUAUAUUAUAAGAUCAUAAGAUAAAGAAAAAGAAAAUCUCGAAGACUGUGUGAGAAGAGAGAAGAAAGCAACAAAAGGUUACAGCAAGAAGAAGAAAGAAAACGACGAGGAGGAUUGGAUGGAGCUAAAAAGCGUCAUCCAAGAAAAGGUUAACGGUCACAGAUGGUCACAGACAAAACAAAGCUCACCGAUCAUUAAAAAUAAUCAAACAAAGACACAGACUUUCAGGCUGAAAAUGUUCUAUUUUCUUGCAUAACUAUGAUGCUUUUAGCAUUCAAGUUCAGCUUCAUGCUUGCAUGCAAGUGUUCAUCGAGUGAAGAGAGGAGAGGAUGGAUCAUGGAUGGACAGAGCUGGGUCGCAAUAGAAAGUGGAAUGCUACUGGGUGGGUGACCACUUACAAGUAACAACUCUGUUUCAUCAUCACCAUUCAUCACAUAUCCAC
Molecule: unclassified non-coding RNA, 3973 nt
Filed under: Hevea brasiliensis (rubber tree)
Lineage: Eukaryota; Viridiplantae; Streptophyta; Magnoliopsida; Malpighiales; Euphorbiaceae
Source: RNAcentral